AUUGAUUUUAUGCUUGCAUAAAUGAUUUUUGGAUUCGGAGCGAGUGGCGAACUGGUGAGUAACACGUGGGUAACCUGCCCCGAAGCGGGGGAUAACAUUUGGAAACAAGUACUAAUACCGCAUAAUUAGUUGGAACCGCAUGGUUCCAACUUGAAAGAUGGCUCUGCUAUCACUUUGGGAUGGACCCGCGCCGUAUUAGUUAGUUGGUGAGAUAAAAGCCCACCAAGACGAUGAUACGUAGCCGACCUGAGAGGGUAAUCGGCCACAUUGGGACUGAGACACGGCCCAGACUCCUACGGGAGGCAGCAGUAGGGAAUCUUCCACAAUGGACGAAAGUCUGAUGGAGCAACGCCGCGUGAGUGAUGAAGGUUUUCGGAUCGUAAAACUCUGUUGUUAAAGAAGAACAAGUGUUAGAGUAACUGCUAACACUUUGACGGUAUUUAACCAGAAAGCCACGGCUAACUACGUGCCAGCAGCCGCGGUAAUACGUAGGUGGCAAGCGUUGUCCGGAUUUAUUGGGCGUAAAGCGAGCGCAGGCGGUUUUGUAGGUCUGCUGUGAAAGCCCUCAGCUCAACUGAGGAAGUGCAGUGGAAACUACAAAACUUGAGUACAGAAGAGGAAAGUGGAACUCCAUGUGUAGCGGUGAAAUGCGUAGAUAUAUGGAAGAACACCAGUGGCGAAGGCGGCUUUCUGGUCUGUUACUGACGCUGAGGCUCGAAAGCAUGGGUAGCGAACAGGAUUAGAUACCCUGGUAGUCCAUGCCGUAAACGAUGAAUACUAGGUGUUGGAGGGUUUCCGCCCUUCAGUGCCGCAGCUAACGCAUUAAGUAUUCCGCCUGGGGAGUACGACCGCAAGGUUGAAACUCAAAGGAAUUGACGGGGGCCCGCACAAGUGGUGGAGCAUGUGGUUUAAUUCGAUGCUACGCGAAGAACCUUACCAGCUCUUGACAUCUUCUGCCAACCCAAGAGAUUGGGCGUUCCCUUCGGGGACAGAAUGACAGGUGGUGCAUGGUUGUCGUCAGCUCGUGUCGUGAGAUGUUGGGUUAAGUCCCGCAACGAGCGCAACCCUUAUUAUUAGUUGCCAGCAUUUAGUUGGGCACUCUAGUGAGACUGCCGGUGAUAAA
This 1123-nucleotide ribosomal RNA is filed under the name uncultured bacterium. Its description in RNAcentral is "bacterial SSU rRNA". It matches the Rfam family "Bacterial small subunit ribosomal RNA", at positions 47 to 1162 of the family's 1533-position model. The record is from RNAcentral.